AGAGUUUGAUCCUGGCUCAGAACGAACGCUGGCGGCAUGCCUAACACAUGCAAGUCGAACGAUGCUUUCGGGCAUAGUGGCGCACGGGUGCGUAACGCGUGGGAAUCUGCCCUUAGGUUCGGAAUAACAGUUAGAGAUGACUGCUAAUACCGGAUGAUGUCGAUAAGACCAAAGAUUUAUCGCCUGAGGAUGAGCCCGCGUAGGAUUAGCUAAUUGGUGUGGUAAAGGCGCACCAAGGCGACGAUCCUUAGCUGGUCUGAGAGGAUGAUCAGCCACACUGGGACUGAGACACGGCCCAGACUCCUACGGGAGGCAGCAGUGGGGAAUAUUGGACAAUGGGCGCAAGCCUGAUCCAGCAAUGCCGCGUGAGUGAUGAAGGCCUUAGGGUUGUAAAGCUCUUUUACCCGGGAUGAUAAUGUCAGUACCGGGAGAAUAAGCCCCGGCUAACUCCGUGCCAGCAGCCGCGGUAAUACGGAGGGGGCUAGCGUUGUUCGGAAUUACUGGGCGUAAAGCGCACGUAGGCGGCUUUGUAAGUUAGAGGUGAAAGCCUGGAGCUCAACUCCAGAACUGCCUUUAAGACUGCAUCGCUUGAAUCCAGGAGAGGUGAGUGGAAUUCCGAGUGUAGAGGUGAAAUUCGUAGAUAUUCGGAAGAACACCAGAGGCGAAGGCGGCUCACUGGACUGGUAUUGACGCUGAGGUGCGAAAGCGUGGGGGAGCAAACAGGAUUAGAUACCCUGGUAGUCCACGCCGUAAACGAUGAUAACUAGCUGUCCGG
Molecule: ribosomal RNA, 775 nt
Filed under: uncultured bacterium
Lineage: Bacteria
Description: bacterial SSU rRNA
Rfam family: Bacterial small subunit ribosomal RNA
Source: RNAcentral